Molecule: long non-coding RNA, 235 nt
Filed under: Linum usitatissimum (flax)
Lineage: Eukaryota; Viridiplantae; Streptophyta; Magnoliopsida; Malpighiales; Linaceae
Description: long non-coding RNA (LUSI_LNC000432)
Source: RNAcentral
GUGCAAUUGCUGCUGCUGCUGAGGAUCCUGCAUUUGAUGUGGGUUAUUGAAUUGUACCGGCAUCCUGGGUGGAAAACUCCCAGGCUGCUGUGCCCCCAUUGCUGCGGCUUGAGGAUGCUGCAUGUAGUAUGCUCCUUGCUGCGUCGCUGCUGGGUGCAGAGCCAUCUGAAUUGAUAUUAUAAAAACCGAGUGAGGCGUUAAAUGGAAAUGCAAAAUUGCAGAUGAUCAUAUUCUA